UUUCCGUAGGUGAACCUGCGGAAGGAUCAUUAUCAAUUAUAGUCGGCAGCAAUGCAACUAUACACCCUUUUUCUUUUGCUUACUGUAUGUUUCCUCGUUGGGCUCGCCCGCCGAUAGGACAUUUUAAACUCUUUGUAAUUGCAAUCAGCGUCAGAAAUAACUAUAAUAGUUACAACUUUCAACAACGGAUCUCUUGGUUCUGGCAUCGAUGAAGAACGCAGC
RNAcentral lists this unclassified non-coding RNA (222 nucleotides) under uncultured fungus. RNAcentral describes it as "sequence contains ITS1, 5.8S rRNA gene". The stretch from base 174 to 222 matches the Rfam family "5.8S ribosomal RNA", at positions 1 to 49 of the family's 154-position model. The record is from RNAcentral. Lineage: Eukaryota; Fungi.